This is a long non-coding RNA of Phyllostomus hastatus (greater spear-nosed bat), 570 nucleotides long. RefSeq lists it as uncharacterized. The record is from RefSeq and is a predicted model, not a curated record. The transcript has 3 exons. NCBI's taxonomy places the organism in Eukaryota, Metazoa, Chordata, Mammalia, Chiroptera, Phyllostomidae.
GUCCAAGACUACGAACCAAUGUCCCCUGGGGUGUUAGCUGUCUAUCAGAUCGAGUACAUUGUUUAUCAGACCUGCGAAAAAGCCAGUUUUUUUGUGUGGUCCUGAUAACAUCAUCCUGAUUCUGUGGUUCCAUAUUUUCCUUUGGAAUGCUGGGGAACAAGCAACCUGCUGCUACUGCUAAUACAAGCAUCAUCCUCCUUGCCCCACCCUACCAAGCUUCAUAUGGUGGAAUUUGUGCAGAUAAAGUACCUAUCCACUGUCUUCAAAAUGAAUUUUACUCAUUGAUCAAGACUUGUGAUCCUCUGGAAAAGAUUUGCAGCACUGUGAGGUCAAAGACAUAUUGGAGGAGCAUUGGAUGCAGACAACACUGGCCUGAAUGUCAAAAAAUCAGGCUUCAAGAACUGCAAGGUACUUAACCAACUGUGAGCUUGGAAGUCACCUCAACUCUCUGAAACUCAGAUUCUUCAUUGGAAAAGUGAUUCCUUAACCAGCAAGAUGGCCAUGGGAAUCAAAUAACAAGUUGUAUACUAACAAAAAUAAGCCUUUGACAACUACAAAUAUUUUUACAAA